UUGGAGGGCAAGUCUGGUGCCAGCAGCCGCGGUAAUUCCAGCUCCAAUAGCGUAUAUUAAAGUUGUUGUGGUUAAAAAGCUCGUAGUUGAACCUUGGGCCUGGCUGGCCGGUCCGCCUCACCGCGUGUACUGGUCCGGCCGGGCCUUUCCCUCUGUGGAACCCCAUGCCCUUCACUGGGUGUGGCGGGGAAACNGGACUUUUACNGUGAAAAAAUUGAGUGCUCCAGGCAGGCCUAUGCUCGAAUACAUUAGCAUGGAAUAAUAGAAUAGGA
Molecule: ribosomal RNA, 272 nt
Filed under: uncultured Ascomycota
Lineage: Eukaryota; Fungi; Ascomycota
Description: partial 18S ribosomal RNA
Rfam family: Eukaryotic small subunit ribosomal RNA
Source: RNAcentral